GAUGCCAUUGAAUCAGCCGUUUUUGUUUUAUGAUACUUAGUAAGGUUUACAAUUAGGAGAAUUUUAAAAAUGAUAUUUUUUUGUCUUUUUUAUUUAUUUUAAUUUUCAUCUUGUUUCAUUUUUUAAUUCAUGAAUAAUCACUUGACAAGUUAUAUAUAGUCUGCGGUGAUGAAAGAUACGUACUAAUGUAAAGAAAAGGAACUAAUUUAAAUUACAUGGAUAAGAGGGUCCUUAUCUGCGGAGUUUCUUCCCUAAAGGAGCAACAAACAACGCUUUAAAGCUACUUUGAAUCACGUGGCAUUUGUAAAAACGGGAAAUUACAAAAUCCAAUGAAUUUGGAAGUGGAUUUAAAGGGUCUAAUUCUGGAACCCGUACACAAUGACUGAAGCGGGAAUUACCUAAAUUUUUGGUGGUUAGCUGUAACGAUAGUUACGCUUAUGAGAAGAGGAUGGUAAGGAGCGAUUUGGAUGCAUGUUACGCAAAGGAACUUUCCAUACUUUUAACGGAUCCUUUUCAAAGUUGUAUAAAUACUAUUUCAGAACAUAAUACAUAAGAUGAAUUUUCAUCGGAACUUGGACCAACUUUGGUCAUAGGUUUAUAAACGUUAAAUGAACUUGUCAAUCUAUUUUUAGUAACUUUAAUUUUAAAUACAAUUUUAGGUAUUUAUUUUA
This is a long non-coding RNA of Hermetia illucens (black soldier fly), 671 nucleotides long. RefSeq lists it as uncharacterized. The record is from RefSeq and is a predicted model, not a curated record. The transcript is spliced from 3 exons. NCBI's taxonomy places the organism in Eukaryota, Metazoa, Arthropoda, Insecta, Diptera, Stratiomyidae.